RNAcentral lists this ribosomal RNA (432 nucleotides) under uncultured bacterium. RNAcentral describes it as "partial 16S ribosomal RNA". It matches the Rfam family "Bacterial small subunit ribosomal RNA", at positions 29 to 506 of the family's 1533-position model. The record is from RNAcentral.
AACGAACGCUGGCGGCAUGCCUAACACAUGCCAGUCGAACGAGACCUUCGGGUCUAGUGGCGCACGGGUGCGUAACGCGUGGGAACCUGCCCUUAGGUUCGGAAUAACUCCCCGAAAGGGGUGCUAAUACCGGAUAAUGUCUUCGGACCAAAGAUUUAUCGCCUUUGGAUGGGCCCGCGUUGGAUUAGCUAGUUGGUAGGGUAAAAGCCUACCAAGGCGACGAUCCAUAGCUGGUCUGAGAGGAUGAUCAGCCACACUGGGACUGAGACACGGCCCAGACUCCUACGGGAGGCAGCAGUGGGGAAUAUUGGACGAUGGGCGAAAGACUGAUCCAGCAAUGCCGCGUGAGUGAUGAAGGCCUUAGGGUUGUAAAGCUCUUUUACCCGGGAUGAUAAUGACAGUACCGGGAGAAUAAGCUCCGGCUAACUCCGU